GAGCCUAUAGCUCAGAGGAUAGAGCACUGGUCUCCGGAACCAGGUGCCCAGGUUCGAGUCCUGGUAGGCUCGCCA
RNAcentral lists this transfer RNA (75 nucleotides) under Brevibacillus borstelensis. RNAcentral's name for it is "tRNA-Arg(ccg)". It matches the Rfam family "tRNA". Rfam says of the family: Transfer RNA (tRNA) molecules are approximately 80 nucleotides in length. Their secondary structure includes four short double-helical elements and three loops (D, anti-codon, and T loops). Further hydrogen bonds mediate the characteristic L-shaped molecular structure. tRNAs have two regions of fundamental functional importance: the anti-codon, which is responsible for specific mRNA codon recognition, and the 3' end, to which the tRNAs corresponding amino acid is attached (by aminoacyl-tRNA synthetases). tRNAs cope with the degeneracy of the genetic code in two manners: having more than one tRNA (with a specific anti-codon) for a particular amino acid; and 'wobble' base-pairing, i.e. permitting non-standard base-pairing at the 3rd anti-codon position. RNAcentral also lists the same sequence under 10 other names. Lineage: Bacteria; Bacillati; Bacillota; Bacilli; Caryophanales; Paenibacillaceae. The record is from RNAcentral.